GGCAGGGCUUUGCAGAGGGCCUAGCCUGAUCUGACCUUGGCUUUCUACAGUCACCACAAUGGGCCCUUUGUGGGGUCCAGCCGCCUCAUGGUCCACGUUGUGCUGGGCUAGGCCUUCUGGAAGUCUGCCUAACAGGGGAUCUACAUCCAGACUUUCCCUUGAGUGCCUGUGGGACCUCGUGCACCUUACCUCCUGUGUGCUUUCCUGUCUGUGAAAUGGGGAUGAGAACAGUACCCGUUGUUGAGAAGAUUAACUGAGCCAGUGUGUGUAAAGCAUUUAGAUACAGAGUAUGCACCCAAUAAAUAUUGGCCACUCUU
Molecule: long non-coding RNA, 317 nt
Organism: Balaenoptera acutorostrata (minke whale)
Lineage: Eukaryota; Metazoa; Chordata; Mammalia; Artiodactyla; Balaenopteridae
Exons: 2
Source: RefSeq, a predicted model, not a curated record